RNAcentral lists this ribosomal RNA (488 nucleotides) under uncultured bacterium. Its description in RNAcentral is "bacterial SSU rRNA". It matches the Rfam family "Bacterial small subunit ribosomal RNA", at positions 28 to 526 of the family's 1533-position model. The record is from RNAcentral.
AAUGAACGUUGGCGGCGUGGAUUAGGCAUGCAAGUCGGUCGCCCCGAAAGGGGCGAGGCGCAAGGGUGAGUAAGGCGACGGUAACCCACCCCCCGGAUGGGAAUAGCCGCGGGAAACCGCGGGUAAUGCCCAGCGACGUCGGUUGAGGACAUCCUCGGCCGACCAAAGGUGCGAGUCCGCCGGGGGACGGGCCGUCGUGGUAUCAGGUUGUUGGCGAGGUAACGGCUCACCAAGCCUGCGACGCCUACCGGGCGUGCGAGCGUGGCCCGGCACACUGGGACUGAGACACUGCCCAGACUCCUACGGGAGGCUGCAGUCGAGAAUCUUCGGCAAUGGGCGCAAGCCUGACCGAGCGACGCCGCGUGGAGGACGACGGCCUUCGGGUUGUAAACUCCUGUCGAGGGGGAACAAGGGGCCGUGAAGAGCGGUCCUUGAGUGAUCCCUGGAGGAAGCACGGGCUAAGUUCGUGCCAGCAGCCGCAGUAAAAC